UACGUAGGGGGCUAGCGUUGUCCGGAAUCAUUGGGCGUAAAGCGCGUGUAGGCGGCCCAAUAAGUCCGCUGUGAAAGUCCAGGGCUCAACCCUGGGAUGCCGGUGGAUACUGUCGGGCUCGAGUCCGGAAGAGGCGAGUGGAAUUCCUGGUGUAGCGGUGAAAUGCGCAGAUAUCAGGAGGAACACCAAUGGCGAAGGCAGCAAACUGGUCCACUCCUGACGCUGAAGCACGAAAGCGUGGGUCGCGAAUGGG
Molecule: ribosomal RNA, 253 nt
Filed under: uncultured bacterium
Lineage: Bacteria
Description: partial 16S ribosomal RNA
Rfam family: Bacterial small subunit ribosomal RNA
Source: RNAcentral